RNAcentral lists this transfer RNA (87 nucleotides) under Oenococcus oeni. Its description in RNAcentral is "tRNA-Leu". It matches the Rfam family "tRNA". From Rfam's summary of the family: Transfer RNA (tRNA) molecules are approximately 80 nucleotides in length. Their secondary structure includes four short double-helical elements and three loops (D, anti-codon, and T loops). Further hydrogen bonds mediate the characteristic L-shaped molecular structure. tRNAs have two regions of fundamental functional importance: the anti-codon, which is responsible for specific mRNA codon recognition, and the 3' end, to which the tRNAs corresponding amino acid is attached (by aminoacyl-tRNA synthetases). tRNAs cope with the degeneracy of the genetic code in two manners: having more than one tRNA (with a specific anti-codon) for a particular amino acid; and 'wobble' base-pairing, i.e. permitting non-standard base-pairing at the 3rd anti-codon position. The record is from RNAcentral. Lineage: Bacteria; Bacillati; Bacillota; Bacilli; Lactobacillales; Lactobacillaceae.
GCCGGCGUGGCGGAAUAGGCAGACGCACAGGACUUAAAAUCCUGCGGUAGUAGUGAUACCGUCCCGGUUCGAUCCCGGGCGCCGGCA